Molecule: long non-coding RNA, 227 nt
Filed under: Brachypodium distachyon (stiff brome)
Lineage: Eukaryota; Viridiplantae; Streptophyta; Magnoliopsida; Poales; Poaceae
Description: long non-coding RNA (BDIS_LNC000802)
Source: RNAcentral
AGAAACUUUAUCCAUUGCAUGUGACAAAUAUAUAGGUGCAUCAAGUUUAAUAGAACACAAAGAAUUAUUAGGUGGAUCGUUCUCAAUCACUCCAUGUGUAAUUAACUCGACACAAUCUAAACCAAAUUUAUCUACAUCACAUGCUUCUCCCAAAACAUUAGUUAUUUCCUCACAUGAUUCAUUCUCAUCAACAUCAAAAUUAAUAUGUAAAAUCAAAUCAUUAGAAG